AAGUCGUAACAAGGUUUCCGUAGGUGAACCUGCGGAAGGAUCAUUAAAGAAUAUCGAGCUUCACAGCUCUUAUUCUCACCCUUUGUAUAUCAAACUUUGUUGCUUUGGCAGCGCCUUUAGCGCCCGCCAGAGGACCUCAAACCCUGAAUAUUCGUGUCGUCUGAGUACCAUAUAAUAGUUAAAA
Molecule: unclassified non-coding RNA, 184 nt
Filed under: plant metagenome
Description: partial contains small subunit ribosomal RNA and internal transcribed spacer 1
Rfam family: Eukaryotic small subunit ribosomal RNA (bases 1-46)
Source: RNAcentral